GGUUAGACGAAGAAUCCGUAUAGAAUGAAUGUUUACAUUAGUUAACGUUCAAUUUUUGAAGUUUCUCUAGCUUUUUUGUUGGGUGAAAUCAGUAUAAGAAGCUCUUUCUUCUUUAAAAAUUAGUAGGAACUAAAAAACUUUGAUUUAAAACCAGGAUUAGAUACCCUGUUAUUCUCAGUUAUUCUUAAACAGGGUAGUAAAAGUUGUUCUUCAAACCCAAAGAUUUUGGCGGCACUUUAUCCAAAUAGAGGAGCUUGCCCCUUAAUCGAUAGUCCUCGUUUUAUCUUUCCUUCAUUUGUAAAGCUUGUAUACCGCCGUUGUCAGAUUACUUUUAGAGAAUGUUUUCAAGUUAAAAGACUUUAUAACUUCAGGUCAAGGUGCAGUUUAUAUGGGGGUGGAGGUGAGCUACAGUUUUCUUUAGAAAAUACGGAUUCUAAGCUUUGAAGCUAGCUGAAGGUGGAUUUACUAGUAAAGUAAUUUAAGUAAAAUUACUUGAAUAAGGCAAUAAAGUGUGUACAUAUCGCCCGUCACUCUCUUCUUAAGAGGAGAUAAGUC
This 555-nucleotide ribosomal RNA is filed under the name Daphnia galeata. RNAcentral's name for it is "partial small subunit ribosomal RNA". The stretch from base 192 to 555 matches the Rfam family "Microsporidia small subunit ribosomal RNA", at positions 752 to 1270 of the family's 1311-position model. The record is from RNAcentral. Lineage: Eukaryota; Metazoa; Arthropoda; Branchiopoda; Diplostraca; Daphniidae.